GGUGCCACCUGGAUAGUCGUUUAAAGUUCCCUUCCUGUGCGUGCGUGCUCAUGCUUGUCUUGUGUACGUUGGAGAAUAUGUGUUUCCAAUCUGUUUGCGUUAGGGAGAGGUUAAGCUCGGAUUCCCAGGAUUUUGUGUAUUUGGGUAGGGUGGGCGGUAUUUCCGUUUGCAUUAGUUUGUAUAGGAUUGAGAGGUGCUUCGUUUUGAUAUCACUGGAGGCACAGU
This is a non-coding RNA of Pelobates cultripes (western spadefoot toad), 225 nucleotides long. The record is from the annotation of a GenBank genome assembly. NCBI's taxonomy places the organism in Eukaryota, Metazoa, Chordata, Amphibia, Anura, Pelobatidae.